AGAGUUUGAUCCUGGCUCAGAUUGAACGCUGGCGGCAUGCCUUACACAUGCAAGUCGAACGGCAGCACGGGAGCAAUCCUGGUGGCGAGUGGCGAACGGGUGAGUAAUACAUCGGAACGUGCCCAGUUGUGGGGGAUAGCCCGGCGAAAGCCGGAUUAAUACCGCAUACGACCUACGGGUGAAAGCGGGGGAUCGCAAGACCUCGCGCAAUUGGAGCGGCCGAUGGCAGAUUAGCUUGUUGGUGGGGUAAAAGCCUUCCAAGGCGACGAUCUGUAGCUGGUCUGAGAGGACGACCAGCCACACUGGGACUGAGACACGGCCCAGACUCCUACGGGAGGCAGCAGUGGGGAAUUUUGGACAAUGGGCGCAAGCCUGAUCCAGCCAUGCCGCGUGUGGGAAGAAGGCCUUCGAGUUGUAAACCACUUUUGUCAGGGAAGAAACGGUCUGAUCUAAUAAAUCGGACUAAUGACGGUACCUGAAGAAUAAGCACCGGCUAACUACGUGCCAGCAGCCGCGGUAAUACGUAGGGUGCAAGCGUUAAUCGGAAUUACUGGGCGUAAAGCGUGCGCAGGCGGCUAUGCAAGACAGAUGUGAAAUCCCCGGGCUCAACCUGGGAACUGCAUUUGUGACUGCAUGGCUAGAGUACGGCAGAGGGGGAUGGAAUUCCGCGUGUAGCAGUGAAAUGCGUAGAUAUGCGGAGGAACACCGAUGGCGAAGGCAAUCCCCUGGGCCUGUACUGACGCUUAUGCACGAAAGCGUGGGGGAGCAAACAGGAUUAGAUACCCUGGUAGUCCACGCCCUAAACGAUGUCAACUGGUUGUUGGACGGCUUGCUGUUCAGUAACGAAGCUAACGCGUGAAGUUGACCGCCUGGGGAGUACGGCCGCAAGGUUGAAACUCAAAGGAAUUGACGGGGACCCGCACAAGCGGUGGAUGAUGUGGUUUAAUUCGAUGCAACGCGAAAAACCUUACCUACCCUUGACAUGUCUAGAGGUUUCCAGAGAUGGAUUCGUGCUCGAAAGAGAACUAGAACACAGGUGCUGCAUGGCCGUCGUCAGCUCGUGUCGUGAGAUGUUGGGUUAAGUCCCGCAACGAGCGCAACCCUUAUCAUUAGUUGCUCCGCAAGGGCACUCUAAUGAGACUGCCGGUGACAAACCGGAGGAAGGUGGGGAUGACGUCAGGUCAUCAUGGCCCUUAUGGGUAGGGCUACACACGUCAUACAAUGGCCGGUACAGAGGGCUGCCAACUCGCGAGAGGGAGCUAAUCUCAGAAAACCGGCCGUAGUCCGGAUCGCAGUCUGCAACUCGACUGCGUGAAGUCGGAAUCGCUAGUAAUCGCGGAUCAGCUUGCCGCGGUGAAUACGUUCCCGGGUCUUGUACACACCGCCCGUCACACCAUGGGAGCGGGUUCUGCCAGAAGUAGUUAGCCUAACCGCAAGGAGGGCGAUUACCACGGCAGGGUUCGUGACUGGGGUGAAGUCGAAACAAGGUA
Molecule: ribosomal RNA, 1490 nt
Filed under: metagenome
Description: bacterial SSU rRNA
Rfam family: Bacterial small subunit ribosomal RNA
Source: RNAcentral